RNAcentral lists this ribosomal RNA (203 nucleotides) under uncultured bacterium. RNAcentral's name for it is "partial 16S ribosomal RNA". It matches the Rfam family "Bacterial small subunit ribosomal RNA", at positions 524 to 726 of the family's 1533-position model. The record is from RNAcentral.
GACAGAGGGGGCAAGCGUUGCUCGGAAUUACUGGGCGUAAAGGGCGCGUAGGCGGGAUGGCAAGUCGGUCGUGAGAUCCCUCGGCUCAACCGAGGAACGUCGAUCGAUACUGCUGUUCUUGAGGAUUGCAGAGGAGACUGGAAUUCCCGGUGUAGCGGUGAAAUGUGUAGAGAUCGGGAGGAACACCGGUGGCGAAGGCGGGU